This 609-nucleotide ribosomal RNA is filed under the name Petasospora sp. RNAcentral describes it as "Cyberlindnera sp. partial large subunit ribosomal RNA". It matches the Rfam family "Eukaryotic large subunit ribosomal RNA", at positions 173 to 793 of the family's 3401-position model. The record is from RNAcentral. Lineage: Eukaryota; Fungi; Ascomycota; Saccharomycetes; Phaffomycetales; Wickerhamomycetaceae.
CCCCCAGUCUAUGUUCCUUGGAACAGGACGUCACAGAGGGUGAGAAUCCCGUCUGGCGGGGGUGGUCCAGUGCUUUGUAGAUUUCUAUCGACGAGUCGAGUUGUUUGGGAAUGCAGCUCUAAGUGGGUGGUAAAUUCCAUCUAAAGCUAAAUAUUGGCGAGAGACCGAUAGCGAACAAGUACAGUGAUGGAAAGAUGAAAAGAACUUUGAAAAGAGAGUGAAAAAGUACGUGAAAUUGUUGAAAGGGAAGGGUAUUAGAUCAGACUUGGUGUUUUGUGAUUAUCUUCCCUUCUUGGGUUGUGCACUCGCAUUUCACUGGGCCAGCAUCGGUUUGGGUGGCAAGAUAAUGGCUUGGGGAACGUGGCACUGUCUUCGGGCAGUGUGUUUAUAGCCCCUGCUGAUGUUGCCUGCCUAGACCGAGGACUGCGGCUUCUGCCUAGGAUGCUGGCGUAAUGAUCUAACACCGCCCGUCUUGAAACAUGGACCAAGGAGUCUAACGUCUAUGCGAGUGUUUGGGUGUAAAACCCGUACGCGUAAUGAAAGUGAACGUAGGUGAGAGCCCUUCUGGGUGCAUCAUCGACCGAUCCUGAUGUCUUCGGAUGGAUUUGA